This 275-nucleotide long non-coding RNA is filed under the name Arabidopsis lyrata. RNAcentral's name for it is "long non-coding RNA (ALYR_LNC001128)". Lineage: Eukaryota; Viridiplantae; Streptophyta; Magnoliopsida; Brassicales; Brassicaceae. The record is from RNAcentral.
GCAAAAUUGAACUGAAGAUACGGAAGCAAAAAUCUCUUUGCCAAGGAGUUCGCUCCCAGAUCAUGGGAAAGAAAUAUAAGAUAAGAUAGUUUGUUUCCGAGUCAUUUGAUAGUUUGAUUAUAUUUGUAAUAAGAUAACAAACGGUAAAUGCGAAAAAAAAUCUUUCUUGAACCAUUUGGAUGAACCUCGUAUGAUUGGUUCGAUGUUAGACCCAAAUCUUCUAUGCGUAUGUGAGUCUCUGUAACAAAACAAUUCAAUACAAAAACAUAAUUUCC